Molecule: long non-coding RNA, 244 nt
Filed under: Lathyrus oleraceus (garden pea)
Lineage: Eukaryota; Viridiplantae; Streptophyta; Magnoliopsida; Fabales; Fabaceae
Description: Pisum sativum (pea) long non-coding RNA (PSAT_LNC023856)
Source: RNAcentral
UAUAAGGUACAAGAUCGAAAAAACACAGAGUGAAUACAUCUGUCGUUCUCUAGUUUAUAUGCUAGAGUUGUUUCAUCCAUUUCUAUUUAUACUCGGUGAGGCACCUUUUUAGGAAAAUCCUACGAAAUCCCAUCGGUUCCAGCUUAGUUAGUUUCAUGGAGGAAAGGGGAUUGAUGACUUUUAUAAGUGAUUUGAGCAAUUCAACUAAAGUGAAGAAAAAGAAAGGAUCUUAUUUUCAUCCAAG